GGGUUGUGAGGUUAAGCGACUAAGCGUACACGGUGGAUGCCCUGGCAGUCAGAGGCGAUGAAGGACGUGCUAAUCUGCGAUAAGCGUCGGUAAGGUGAUAUGAACCGUUAUAACCGGCGAUUUCCGAAUGGGGAAACCCAGUGUGUUUCGACACACUAUCAUUAACUGAAUCCAUAGGUUAAUGAGGCGAACCGGGGGAACUGAAACAUCUAAGUACCCCGAGGAAAAGAAAUCAACCGAGAUUCCCCCAGUAGCGGCGAGCGAACGGGGAGCAGCCCAGAGCCUGAAUCAGUGUGUGUGUUAGUGGAAGCGUCUGGAAAGGCGCGCGAUACAGGGUGACAGCCCCGUACACAAAAAUGCACAUGCUGUGAGCUCGAUGAGUAGGGCGGGACACGUGGUAUCCUGUCUGAAUAUGGGGGGACCAUCCUCCAAGGCUAAAUACUCCUGACUGACCGAUAGUGAACCAGUACCGUGAGGGAAAGGCGAAAAGAACCCCGGCGAGGGGAGUGAAAAAGAACCUGAAACCGUGUACGUACAAGCAGUGGGAGCCUCUUUAUGGGGUGACUGCGUACCUUUUGUAUAAUGGGUCAGCGACUUAUAUUCUGUAGCAAGGUUAACCGAAUAGGGGAGCCGAAGGGAAACCGAGUCUUAACUGGGCGUUAAGUUGCAGGGUAUAGACCCGAAACCCGGUGAUCUAGCCAUGGGCAGGUUGAAGGUUGGGUAACACUAACUGGAGGACCGAACCGACUAAUGUUGAAAAAUUAGCGGAUGACUUGUGGCUGGGGGUGAAAGGCCAAUCAAACCGGGAGAUAGCUGGUUCUCCCCGAAAGCUAUUUAGGUAGCGCCUCGUGAAUUCAUCUCCGGGGGUAGAGCACUGUUUCGGCAAGGGGGUCAUCCCGACUUACCAACCCGAUGCAAACUGCGAAUACCGGAGAAUGUUAUCACGGGAGACACACGGCGGGUGCUAACGUCCGUCGUGAAGAGGGAAACAACCCAGACCGCCAGCUAAGGUCCCAAAGUCAUGGUUAAGUGGGAAACGAUGUGGGAAGGCCCAGACAGCCAGGAUGUUGGCUUAGAAGCAGCCAUCAUUUAAAGAAAGCGUAAUAGCUCACUGGUCGAGUCGGCCUGCGCGGAAGAUGUAACGGGGCUAAACCAUGCACCGAAGCUGCGGCAGCGACGCUUAUGCGUUGUUGGGUAGGGGAGCGUUCUGUAAGCCUGUGAAGGUGUGCUGUGAGGCAUGCUGGAGGUAUCAGAAGUGCGAAUGCUGACAUAAGUAACGAUAAAGCGGGUGAAAAGCCCGCUCGCCGGAAGACCAAGGGUUCCUGUCCAACGUUAAUCGGGGCAGGGUGAGUCGACCCCUAAGGCGAGGCCGAAAGGCGUAGUCGAUGGGAAACAGGUUAAUAUUCCUGUACUUGGUGUUACUGCGAAGGGGGGACGGAGAAGGCUAUGUUGGCCGGGCGACGGUUGUCCCGGUUUAAGCGUGUAGGCUGGUUUUCCAGGCAAAUCCGGAAAAUCAAGGCUGAGGCGUGAUGACGAGGCACUACGGUGCUGAAGCAACAAAUGCCCUGCUUCCAGGAAAAGCCUCUAAGCAUCAGGUAACAUCAAAUCGUACCCCAAACCGACACAGGUGGUCAGGUAGAGAAUACCAAGGCGCUUGAGAGAACUCGGGUGAAGGAACUAGGCAAAAUGGUGCCGUAACUUCGGGAGAAGGCACGCUGAUAUGUAGGUGAAGCGACUUGCUCGUGGAGCUGAAAUCAGUCGAAGAUACCAGCUGGCUGCAACUGUUUAUUAAAAACACAGCACUGUGCAAACACGAAAGUGGACGUAUACGGUGUGACGCCUGCCCGGUGCCGGAAGGUUAAUUGAUGGGGUCAGCGCAAGCGAAGCUCUUGAUCGAAGCCCCGGUAAACGGCGGCCGUAACUAUAACGGUCCUAAGGUAGCGAAAUUCCUUGUCGGGUAAGUUCCGACCUGCACGAAUGGCGUAAUGAUGGCCAGGCUGUCUCCACCCGAGACUCAGUGAAAUUGAACUCGCUGUGAAGAUGCAGUGUACCCGCGGCAAGACGGAAAGACCCCGUGAACCUUUACUAUAGCUUGACACUGAACAUUGAGCCUUGAUGUGUAGGAUAGGUGGGAGGCUUUGAAGUGUGGACGCCAGUCUGCAUGGAGCCGACCUUGAAAUACCACCCUUUAAUGUUUGAUGUUCUAACGUUGACCCGUAAUCCGGGUUGCGGACAGUGUCUGGUGGGUAGUUUGACUGGGGCGGUCUCCUCCUAAAGAGUAACGGAGGAGCACGAAGGUUGGCUAAUCCUGGUCGGACAUCAGGAGGUUAGUGCAAUGGCAUAAGCCAGCUUGACUGCGAGCGUGACGGCGCGAGCAGGUGCGAAAGCAGGUCAUAGUGAUCCGGUGGUUCUGAAUGGAAGGGCCAUCGCUCAACGGAUAAAAGGUACUCCGGGGAUAACAGGCUGAUACCGCCCAAGAGUUCAUAUCGACGGCGGUGUUUGGCACCUCGAUGUCGGCUCAUCACAUCCUGGGGCUGAAGUAGGUCCCAAGGGUAUGGCUGUUCGCCAUUUAAAGUGGUACGCGAGCUGGGUUUAGAACGUCGUGAGACAGUUCGGUCCCUAUCUGCCGUGGGCGCUGGAGAACUGAGGGGGGCUGCUCCUAGUACGAGAGGACCGGAGUGGACGCAUCACUGGUGUUCGGGUUGUCAUGCCAAUGGCACUGCCCGGUAGCUAAAUGCGGAAGAGAUAAGUGCUGAAAGCAUCUAAGCACGAAACUUGCCCCGAGAUGAGUUCUCCCUGACUCCUUGAGAGUCCUGAAGGAACGUUGAAGACGACGACGUUGAUAGGCCGGGUGUGUAAGCGCAGCGAUGCGUUGAGCUAACCGGUACUAAUGAACCGUGAGGCUUAACCUUACAACGCCGAAG
This 2924-nucleotide ribosomal RNA is filed under the name Escherichia coli. Its description in RNAcentral is "bacterial LSU rRNA". It matches the Rfam family "Bacterial large subunit ribosomal RNA". The record is from RNAcentral. Lineage: Bacteria; Pseudomonadati; Pseudomonadota; Gammaproteobacteria; Enterobacterales; Enterobacteriaceae.